UGGCCUUGAGCACCUCCAGGGAUGGGGUACCCACUACUUCUCUGGGCAGCCUGUGCCAGUACCUCACCACCCUCUGAGUAAAGAAUUUCCUCCUAACAGUUAAGCUAAAUCUUCCCUCUUUCAGUUCAAAGCCAUUCCCCCUUACCCUAUCACUAUUAGAUCAUCCAUGGUAUGACUAAUGACAUCCCACGAGACUUCCAGUAAACUCCCGAGAACUACCCCCAGAUUAACAAAGUAGUCUGCGUAUGUUUGAAGAGUUGGACCUUGACAUGACUGGAUGGCUUUCUGCAGAUCUUGUCUCCACGUUAAAACAUUUCUAAAAUGAGUAAAGCUGAAGUAAGGAUGUGAAAUGAAAAGUCACAUGCUACCCAGGGACACAACAUACUGAACCCUUCACAGGCUGAUUCCUUGAACGUGACACCAGCUGUAUCACUGUGUCUGUUCAUGGGGGUAUCUGGCUGAGACAGAAGCUGCUUCACAACAUGAGAACUGUACAGUUUGUUUUCCACACUUACAUUUAAAAAAAAACACGAAUCCUUUCUCCACAACAAUCUAUCUCCACAGCAGAUAAAAAUCUUGCUGAAUUCAUAGCACCACCUUCAGAGUCCUCGUACAAUCCUUUUCCUUAUUUUCCCCACACCUUGGAUCUUAACCUCUCUUUUACUUAUUUUUUCUCCCCAGUGAUAGUUUGAAUUCUUCCCCUUAAAGCCCCACCUUGACAUACUAUGGUAUCAGUACUCAGAGCUGGUUCGAAUUUAUCAGAUGGCUUCAAUGCUAGAAAAUACCACUUUGUCACAAGCAGAACCCUUCCUAAAAGUUUGUCACUUUCCAACGCGAAUCUCUAUUUUACUGAAACCGCAGCUUUCAAUAAUGUCAAAACAUCAUUCUGACAUCUUGGAAAUGGAACACCUCUGUUUAAAAAAAAAAGAAAAAGAGUUUUGCAUUUCACUGUAUUCUCCUGGAGAUUCUGUAAACUGACUUUCUGUUUGGAGUGGAAAAAAAAGAUUCAUAGCUACAGAAUUCCCUGAAAAAGAGUCAUUCUCUUUCAGCUCUACAUCUCACCUUUUCUUCCAUCUCCACCCUGCAGAGGUUGCAGCUGAGAAGACUGAUAACACCACAGCAGUGGCAACAGUGUUCAUACAUUUAACGUGCUGGAAUAGUUUUUAUGUAUGUAUCUAAUGUAUACAGUCAGUGGUGCUAUCUCAUUUGAUAUGGAACUUUUAGGCAUGGCAGGCUGUUCCAGCCAUGACAUUUAAUGUGCUGCCUUUUACAGAGAAGGCAUUUAGUGGCUUGGUUUUACAUGAAAGUAAAGCUUAU
This 1317-nucleotide long non-coding RNA is filed under the name Gallus gallus (chicken). Its description in RNAcentral is "lncRNA (ENSGALG00010015399.1)". The record is from RNAcentral. Lineage: Eukaryota; Metazoa; Chordata; Aves; Galliformes; Phasianidae.